RNAcentral lists this ribosomal RNA (520 nucleotides) under uncultured bacterium. RNAcentral's name for it is "bacterial SSU rRNA". It matches the Rfam family "Bacterial small subunit ribosomal RNA", at positions 120 to 674 of the family's 1533-position model. The record is from RNAcentral.
GGGAACGUACCUUUUGGUUCGGAACAACACAGGGAAACUUGUGCUAAUACCGGAUAAGCCCUUACGGGGAAAGAUUUAUCGCCGAAAGAUCGGCCCGCGUCUGAUUAGCUAGUUGGUAGGGUAACGGCCUACCAAGGCGACGAUCAGUAGCUGGUCUGAGAGGAUGAUCAGCCACAUUGGGACUGAGACACGGCCCAAACUCCUACGGGAGGCAGCAGUGGGGAAUAUUGGACAAUGGGGGCAACCCUGAUCCAGCCAUGCCGCGUGAGUGAUGAAGGCCCUAGGGUUGUAAAGCUCUUUUGUGCGGGAAGAUAAUGACGGUACCGCAAGAAUAAGCCCCGGCUAACUUCGUGCCAGCAGCCGCGGUAAUACGAAGGGGGCUAGCGUUGUUCGGAAUUACUGGGCGUAAAGCGCACGUAGGCGGAUAUUUAAGUCAGGGGUGAAAUCCCAGAGCUCAACUCUGGAACUGCCUUUGAUACUGGGUAUCUUGAGUAUGGAAGAGGUAAGUGGAAUUCCGAGU